Molecule: long non-coding RNA, 3222 nt
Filed under: Homo sapiens (human)
Lineage: Eukaryota; Metazoa; Chordata; Mammalia; Primates; Hominidae
Description: non-protein coding lnc-GNG13-5:1
Source: RNAcentral
CCUGCAGAUGCUUGCUCUGGGCAUGCAGGGGCCCCUGGGGAAGGAUCCGCGCCUGGCUCCCUCUCUCCAUCUGUCCCUCGUUUUGGACGGGAAGUCGACUAUCAUUCCUGACGUUCCAGUGUAACGUGUUAUGUUUCUCUGAUGGCUUUGGGGAUUUUAUCUUCCGUUGCCAGUUUCUUGACUAUGAUAUGCCUACUUUUUACCAAAUUUGGAUAAUUUUUGCCAAUAUUUGGGGGGGUUGCCCCAUGUUCUUUCUCCUCUCCUGUGGCUCCACGGACAUGGACAUCAGGCCUCUCCCUGCCUUCCACGAGCUCCUGGGCCCUGUGCUUCUGUGUGGUGUUUUCUAAAAGCCUCUCAUCUCUAGAAUGAGUCACUGUGGCUGCUAUGUCUUCGUGUUCACUGCCUUUUCUUUCGUUCUUCACUCUGCUGCUGAGCUCAGCCAGGGGCAUUUGUGCUCUGGAGAUUUUAGUUCUUGCUCUGGAGUGGGCCUGGCCUUCCUCCGAGGCUCUGUGUCUCUGCUCAGCUCUCCAGCCCGCCUGCCUGGCAAGCACGUUUUCCUGUGCUUUCCGGUCCUGAUGCUUUCCUGCGUCCGUGUGGAGCCAGCGCUUGGGGUGUGGUGUGUAGAGAGGGGAAUGUGGACAUGCAGUGCGUGCUGUGGGGGCUGACGGGCUGGGGCCGGUGUGGAUGUCGUGUCGGGGGCCGAGCCAACGGGCCAGGGCCAGUGUGGAUGUCAUGUUGGGGGACGACGGACUAGGGCCAGUGUGAAUGUCUUGUUGGGGGCCCAGCUGACGGGCCAGGGCUGGUGUGGAUGUCCUGUUGGGAGCCGACAGGCUGGGGCCAUUGUGGAUGUCGUGUUGGGGGCUAAGCCGACGGGCCAGGGCCGGUGCAGAUGUUGUGCUGGGGGCCGACAGGCUGGGGCCAGUGUGGAUGUCCUGUCCAGCAAGGCCCUGGAGGUGGUGUCCGGGCAGUCUUGACCGAGGCCGGAAGGAUGGUGCCGGGGGCAGGAGCCUGACUGCCUCGGAGGAAGGGGGUCCCGGGGCGGAGCUGUGGGGUGGGGAGCCCAUUGUGGAUGCUGGCUGCUUCACCCUCACCCCCACGUUCUGUCUGUGGGUCUCCGUGAGGCUCCUCCCAGGGCGGCCCUGCCACAUGAUGUAGCUGAAACCCAGUCCUCUCUGCACACCAGUGUUUCUAGGAAAACACUUCCUGUCUUUCUCCCCAAGACCUCCAGGACGUGGGCCUGAGGUCAUCACUGCCUCCUUCAGUUGCUGCUGCCCGAGGCCCCCAAGAGUGACCCACAUGAGACUGCGGUCCAGACGCCCUCCCUGCCUCUGAGGGCGCACACUGUCCAGAGCGGGUCUGUGGGUGGAAUGCCCCCAGCGGCCUCCGGGCCCCUUGUCUGUGGGGCCUGUGCCCUGGUGCUGCCGGCACUGCUGUCCUCACGCGAGCGCUGGAGAUAUGAGCUUUCCCAGGGGGGCUCAGCAGUGAUGAAGGUGGGGCAGGAGCUGUGUGUGUCCACCAUAGGUCCUGACAGAGAUGAAGCAGAGGCCACAGGGCUGCCCUGCCCCCUGCCGCGGGCAUGUGGGGUGAUUCCCGCCCACUUCUCAGGUGUGCCAACCCCCACGUUCCUUCCCUGUGAGUGUGUGAGCUCACAUAGCCCCUGGACACACCACCCUCCACGUGGGGUGGAUCGUGCCUGUUGGCCACACUGAGCACACCUGGAAACGCCGACUGCCGAGUGUCAGGGGAGGGUCUGGAAAAGCCGCGAGUGAAAACAGACUGUCCCCCGAGACUGUGUGGUGAGGGGAACACCUGAUUCUGCAGCCUGGGAGUCCACGCCGACAUGCCGACUGCCCACACAGGUGUCACAGCAGGGAUGUGGAUGCUACUGUCACGUGACUUUAGCUCUGCCUUCAAGAUGAGUUUGCAGCAUGGCAGCCCCUGGGUGGCGUCUCCAUCCCCGACGCUGAGCAGUACUCAUGCUCUCAGAGCUCGCUGCGCAGAGAAAUAGCCGUAACAGACCCGGAGCUCAAUAUUCAGGGGAUCCCAGAGCUGGCUGUGCAGAGCAAUGGCCAUAACAGACCCGGAGCUCAACACUCAGAGGAUCUGCGAGGGGACACCCGGGAGGUGGCUAGUUGCCAGGAGAGGGGUGUUCCUGACAUACCUUCAUUUGCUGCCAGGGAGCCAACGAGGCAUCCCAAGGCCGCAGGCCUCAGUGGCAGAGCCUGCACUUGUCCCUCUGAAGCUUUUUCAAACAUGGUCACAAAAGAUGUUUUCCCCGUGGCCAGAGACAUGGAGAAGUGGGGUCUGGGGCUCUGCAUGUGGGCGGAUCACAGACAAGGCCACCUGGUGUCCCGGGGCCAUGUGGGUGUGGCCUACCAGUGCCCAGCCCCGCCACUGGCGCGCAGCGAGAGCCGAACUCCCCAGCCCCCAUCAUCCAGCCCCAGGGGCGUCUGUAGCCCACAGCCCCUGUUCCGUGAUAGUGCAAAGUAAGAUUUGCAGUGCUAUUUCAUAACUUUUCAGCUUAAAAUAUAACCUGUAAAAAUGAAGGAAACUUUUAAAAGCUCCCAGCUCUCUCUGGGGCCGCCAUUAGAAGCCCCUGGGGUGGCAGAGGGCGGCCCGGCGCAGAGCUGAGUGACAGGCAGUCAAGAUGGAAGCGCUUUGCUCCCUCGUCCCCGAUUUUAACAGCGAACUUAAUGGAUUUCCUGUUUCUAACGUGGAUGGUGGCUGUCAUUUUUGAAGGAUCCAUCUGUGCUAUAUUUAAUGACUCUCCCUAAGUAACUAAAAUAGUUUCCACAGAGUUAAUGAGGCCUCAGCUGGCGUUCUCUCCUACAGUGGCCAUUGCAAUGACUUGCACCUCCAAAGCGUUGUGUUAAAUCACGUUUCUUCCUUGGUCAGAGGCGGCUCAGCCCACAACCCACUGGCCCCUCAUCCCUCCCUUUGCCGGAGGCUACCCCGUGUCCCUCCCUGUGUCCUGAGGGCUGCCCCCACCCUGCACACCUUCUGCACCCUCCGAGCCUCUGCCCCUCACUGGUGGCCAGGCAGCGCCUGGGUGUCACCUGCCCCAGCUGCUGAGUCUCACCUGCCCCAGGCCCCCAAGUCUCACCUGCUCCGGCCCCCGCGUCCCACGUGCUCCGGCCCCUGCAUCUCACCUGCUCCGGCCCCCGGUGAUGGUGCUCAUCUCACCCGCCUGAGGCACCGCAGUCGCCCCACCCUGCGUGUCUC